UGACCCUUUUUAAAGCCGAGGGUCACCUAGCCAACUGACGUUGUUAGUGAACCUUAUAUUGUUCACCAAAAUAUUUAACCACCCGCGAUUUGCGUGUGGUUUUUUUUGC
This 109-nucleotide small RNA is filed under the name Vibrio tapetis subsp. tapetis. RNAcentral describes it as "Qrr RNA". It matches the Rfam family "Qrr RNA". From Rfam's summary of the family: This family represents a set of small RNAs (the Qrr RNAs) that are thought to be involved in the regulation of quorum sensing in Vibrio species. It is believed that these RNAs, guided by a protein, Hfq, can mediate the destabilisation of the quorum-sensing master regulators LuxR/HapR mRNAs. The record is from Rfam by way of RNAcentral. Lineage: Bacteria; Pseudomonadati; Pseudomonadota; Gammaproteobacteria; Vibrionales; Vibrionaceae.